Molecule: RNA transcript, 880 nt
Organism: Phalaenopsis equestris
Lineage: Eukaryota; Viridiplantae; Streptophyta; Magnoliopsida; Asparagales; Orchidaceae
Exons: 3
Source: RefSeq, a predicted model, not a curated record
CUGUUUUUCCUCCUAAUCGCGUGAGCCGUGUGAUCAUCUUUCAUUUUCGUCUUCCUCCGCCUACCCGAUUCAAUUGAACCCUCCCCACGCUCACUAAGCACCUAUGCUUCCUAUAUAUGGAACAAAGAUGUUAAGGCAUCAGAUAGUCUUAUCACGGCGCCUGCAUCUUUCACAGAUGGAAAGUUCCCAGCGGAGAGUGAGUGGGAUGCUCCAUCGUCAUCAUCCAAUUUUGUUGCUUUCAAUUAACUACAUGAAUUCUUCCAUUGGUUUAUACCUUAUCGGUUAUCUUUCUCCAUUAAUUUUGUUGUUGAGGUUUAUUUUGGUUUAAUUUUUGGCAGCCUUUGAAGCCGGGAAUCUGAAAUCGAGAAAUGUCAUCGAUCGAGGAGUAGCUUGAGCACACUCUCCUCGUGUUGCAGGAGCUGUCAGUUUUUAAGAUCCCACCACAGAGCACAAGUGGUGGGUACAAGAGCGUUGAAUGGCUGCAAUCGGAUAAGAUCUGGUCUGGUCGUCUUGGCGUCAUGUCCUGUGGCGAUCGCUGCGGAACCUGACUCAGAAGGGCUCUUUGCUGUCUAUUUCGUCCUACCGGGUUGGCGGGAGAUCUCUGUCGAGACAGUGCUUGAUUCCUCCGGUUAUUUCGUGCUUAGGAUCGAGGAUGGACGGGGUGAACACGCAUUCAUUAGGAGAAUGGAUCUGAGGAAGGGCAUAAGAAGGAGAACACAAAAAAUGAUAAUCUGCAGCUCUUCUUGUCUCUGUCAUCGCCGCCAGAGAGGAUUAAUCUCGAUCUCUCAAUGGCAAUUCUAGGAAGCUGAUUAACUUCUAAUCAUUUUUAUCAUUAGUGAUUAAUUAUGUGUAUAGAUACAUCCAAUGAGGGACAAGUACU